Molecule: ribosomal RNA, 2760 nt
Filed under: Nephroselmis olivacea
Lineage: Eukaryota; Viridiplantae; Chlorophyta; Nephroselmidophyceae; Nephroselmidales; Nephroselmidaceae
Description: LSU rRNA
Rfam family: Bacterial large subunit ribosomal RNA
Source: RNAcentral
ACAAAGUAAGCAUUGAAUGGAUGACUAGGUACAAAGGAAAUAGGACGUUGAAUAAAACGAAAUCGCCAUAGAAAGGCAAACUGUGAUCUAUGGAUAUCCCAAGGGGAAACCCUAAUUCUAAUAACUUUGCGAACUGAAACAUCUAAGUAGCAAAAGGAAAGGAAAUCAACCGAGACUCCGUUAGUAGUGGCGAGCGAAAGCGGAUUAGGCCUUGAAUAAUAUUUUUUCAUCAUGGAAAAUAGAAAGAAGUUUCGAACUUUGGAAUCUAUUGCCAAAGAAGGUGUUAGCCCUGUACAUGAACAAUCGACGCUUUCUCUGAAAGCUAGUAUAUAUUAUUCUAUUGAGUAAAACGAAACUAUUUGUUUGAAGAUGGGGGGACCACCCUCCAAGCCUAAGUAUCUCUUUGUAACCGAUAGUGUACAAGUACCGUGAGGGAAAGGUGAAAAGAAGCCUAAAAAAGGCUUGUGAAAUAGACACCUAAAAUUCGAUGCUUUCAAUCAGUAGAAGCUUUUCUAUGCUUUUCUUUUUUAGAAAAAGCUAGUAUGAAGUGACUGCGUACCUUUUGCAUAAUGGGUCAGCGAGUCAAUAAAAAUAGCAAGCUUAAGCCACUAGGUGGAGGCAUACACAAACGAAGUCUGAAUAAGGCAAUCUUUCUUGAAGUUAUUUUUAUUGGACCCGAAGCCAAGUGAUCUAGUUAUGAGCAGGCUGAAAAAGUAGUAAAGCACUUUGGAGGGCCGAACCCACGUAUGUUGCAAAAUACGGGGAUGACUUGUGACUAGGGGUGAAAGGCUAAUCAAACUUGGAAAUAGCUGGUUUUCCGCGAAAUCUAUUUAGGUAGAGCGGAAUCAUGAAGAAGAAAAGAGGUAGAGCACUCAAUGGGCUAGGGGGGCCCAAAGCCUUACUGAUCCCAAGGAAACUCCGAAUGCUUUUCUUCAAAGAUUCUAGACAGACUUUGAGCGCUAAGGUCCAAAGUCGAAAGGGAAACAGCCCAGAUCGAUUGCUAAGGUCCCUAAACAGUUACUUAGUGGAAAAGGAAGUAAUAUCGCGAAAACAACCAGAAGGUGGGCUUGGAAGCAGCCAUCCUUUGAAGAAAGCGUAAUAGCUCACUGGUCUAGCGAAAUUGCGCCGAAAAUGUAUCGGGUCUUAUGUAACUUACCGAAGCAGCGAAUACUAAAUUUUUCAUUAGUAUGGUAGCGGAACGUUCUGUAAUUCGUUGAAGCUUUUCUGUCAGGAAAUUAGUGGAGAAAUCAGAAGUGAGUAUGCUGACAUGAGUAACGAAUAAAUCAUGUGAAAAUCAUGAUCGCCGAAAAUCGAAGGGUUUCUGCGAUCCGCUCGUCGGCGCAGAGUUAGUCGGUCCCUAAGAUAAUUUCCAAAAGGAAAUUUUCGAUGGGAAUUCCUAUCUAGUGUUUGAAAAUUUAUGAUUGUUAUCAAGAGCUGGUUUCUUGUUAAUUUAUUAAAGAUUUUCCUGGAAAAUUACUAGAAAUUAAUAGACCGUACUGAAAACCAACACUGGUCGAUAAGUAGAAUAUACUAAGGCGUGUGAGAGAACCAUGUUGAAGGAACUCGGCAAAUUAACCCCGUAACUUAGGGAUAAGGGGUACUCUUCGCUAGCCCUCGACGUCCGAAAGGACUAGUGGGCGUCGAAAAGAGUGUCACAAAAUAGAGAGUAGCGACUGUUUAUUAAAAACACAGGACUUUGCUAAAUUGAAAAAUGAUGUAUAAGGUCUGACACCUGCCCGGUGCUGGAAGGUUAAGAGGAGAGGUAUUAAAAAGCUUUGAAUCGAAGCCCCAGUAAACGGCGGCUGUAACUCUAACGGUCCUAAGGUAGCGAAAUUCCUUGUCGCAUAAGUAGCGACCUGCAUGAAUGGUGUAACGACUGCUCUACUGUCUCCAACAUGGACUCAGUGAAAUUGAAUUCUCCGUGAAGAUGCGGAGUACUGGUGGCUAGACGGGAAGACCCUGUGCACCUUUACUAUUUCUUUACAUUGGACCUUGAUCAUCUUUGUGUAGGAUAGGUGGGAGUCAAACUUAAACACUUGACAAUCUUGAAAUACCACUCUUAGACGAUCUAGUUCCUAACCUUUAAAAAAGGAACCAUGUAUGGUAGGUAGUUUGACUGGGGCGGUCGCCUCCUAAAAAGUAACGGAGGCGUGCGAAGGUAAGCUCAAGCGGGCCGGAAAUCCGCUGUAGAGUAUAAUGGCAUAAGCUUGCCUGACUGUAAGAUGGACACAUCGAGCAGAGACGAAAGUCGGCCAUAGUGGUCCGGGGACUUCCGUGUGGAAGGGUCCUCGCUUAACGGAUCAAAGGUACGCCAGGGAUAACAGGCUGAUAACCCCCAAGAGCUCUUAUCGACGGGGUUGUUUGGCACCUCGAUGUCGACUCAUCACAUCCUGGGGCUGAAGAAGGUCCCAAGGGUUCGGCUGUUCGCCGAUUAAAGUGGUACGUGAGUUGGGUUUAAAACGUCGUGAGACAGUUUGGUUCCUAUCUACCAUUAGAUUUUAUAGAAUUGAGAGAAUCUGUCCUUAGUACGAGAGGACCGGGAUGGGUGAACCUAUGGUGUAUCAGUUGUUCUACCAGGAGCAUUGCUGAGUAGCUACGUUCAUAUGAGAGAAUUGUUGAAAGCAUCUUAAACAAGAAACUCUACUCGAUACCAAUUCUUGGAUGUACAUUUCUGUAGAAGACUACUACAAAAUAGGCAUGAAGUUAUACCUUUGUAAAAAGCUUACUAACAUGUACUAAAUUAUAUCCGUAUUUUUAUAU